Molecule: ribosomal RNA, 2889 nt
Filed under: Klebsiella pneumoniae subsp. pneumoniae
Lineage: Bacteria; Pseudomonadati; Pseudomonadota; Gammaproteobacteria; Enterobacterales; Enterobacteriaceae
Description: bacterial LSU rRNA
Rfam family: Bacterial large subunit ribosomal RNA
Source: RNAcentral
UUAAGCGACUAAGCGUACACGGUGGAUGCCCUGGCAGUCAGAGGCGAUGAAGGACGUGCUAAUCUGCGAAAAGCGUCGGUAAGGUGAUAUGAACCGUUAUAACCGGCGAUGUCCGAAUGGGGAAACCCAGUGCAAUUCGUUGCACUAUCGUUAACUGAAUACAUAGGUUAACGAGGCGAACCGGGGGAACUGAAACAUCUAAGUACCCCGAGGAAAAGAAAUCAACCGAGAUUCCCCCAGUAGCGGCGAGCGAACGGGGAGCAGCCCAGAGUCUGAAUCAGCUUGUGUGUUAGUGGAACGGUCUGGAAAGUCCGACGGUACAGGGUGAUAGUCCCGUACACCAAAAUGCACAGGCUGUGAACUCGAAGAGUAGGGCGGGACACGUGGUAUCCUGUCUGAAUAUGGGGGGACCAUCCUCCAAGGCUAAAUACUCCUGACUGACCGAUAGUGAACCAGUACCGUGAGGGAAAGGCGAAAAGAACCCCGGCGAGGGGAGUGAAAAAGAACCUGAAACCGUGUACGUACAAGCAGUGGGAGCACCUUCGGGUGUGACUGCGUACCUUUUGUAUAAUGGGUCAGCGACUUAUAUUCUGUAGCAAGGUUAACCGUAUAGGGGAGCCGCAGGGAAACCGAGUCUUAACUGGGCGUUAAGUUGCAGGGUAUAGACCCGAAACCCGGUGAUCUAGCCAUGGGCAGGUUGAAGGUUGGGUAACACUAACUGGAGGACCGAACCGACUAAUGUUGAAAAAUUAGCGGAUGACUUGUGGCUGGGGGUGAAAGGCCAAUCAAACCGGGAGAUAGCUGGUUCUCCCCGAAAGCUAUUUAGGUAGCGCCUCGUGAACUCAUCUUCGGGGGUAGAGCACUGUUUCGGCUAGGGGGUCAUCCCGACUUACCAACCCGAUGCAAACUACGAAUACCGAAGAAUGUUAUCACGGGAGACACACGGCGGGUGCUAACGUCCGUCGUGAAGAGGGAAACAACCCAGACCGCCAGCUAAGGUCCCAAAGUCAUGGUUAAGUGGGAAACGAUGUGGGAAGGCACAGACAGCCAGGAUGUUGGCUUAGAAGCAGCCAUCAUUUAAAGAAAGCGUAAUAGCUCACUGGUCGAGUCGGCCUGCGCGGAAGAUGUAACGGGGCUAAACCAUGCACCGAAGCUGCGGCAGCGACACUAUGUGUUGUUGGGUAGGGGAGCGUUCUGUAAGCCUGCGAAGGUGNUGCUGGAGGUAUCAGAAGUGCGAAUGCUGACAUAAGUAACGAUAAAGCGGGUGAAAAGCCCGCUCGCCGGAAGACCAAGGGUUCCUGUCCAACGUUAAUCGGGGCAGGGUGAGUCGACCCCUAAGGCGAGGCCGAAAGGCGUAGUCGAUGGGAAACAGGUUAAUAUUCCUGUACUUGGUGUUACUGCGAAGGGGGGACGGAGAAGGCUAUGUUAGCCGGGCGACGGUUGUCCCGGUUUAAGCAUGUAGGCUGAUUGUCCAGGCAAAUCCGGAUAAUCAAGGCUGAGGUGUGAUGACGAGGCACUACGGUGCUGAAGUAACAAAUGCCCUGCUUCCAGGAAAAGCCUCUAAGCAUCAGGUAACAUCAAAUCGUACCCCAAACCGACACAGGUGGUCAGGUAGAGAAUACCAAGGCGCUUGAGAGAACUCGGGUGAAGGAACUAGGCAAAAUGGUGCCGUAACUUCGGGAGAAGGCACGCUGGUGUGUAGGUGAAGCCCCUGCGGGUGGAGCUGAGACCAGUCGAAGAUACCAGCUGGCUGCAACUGUUUAUUAAAAACACAGCACUGUGCAAACACGAAAGUGGACGUAUACGGUGUGACGCCUGCCCGGUGCCGGAAGGUUAAUUGAUGGGGUUAUCCGUAAGGAGAAGCUCUUGAUCGAAGCCCCGGUAAACGGCGGCCGUAACUAUAACGGUCCUAAGGUAGCGAAAUUCCUUGUCGGGUAAGUUCCGACCUGCACGAAUGGCGUAAUGAUGGCCAGGCUGUCUCCACCCGAGACUCAGUGAAAUUGAACUCGCUGUGAAGAUGCAGUGUACCCGCGGCAAGACGGAAAGACCCCGUGAACCUUUACUAUAGCUUGACACUGAACAUUGAGCCUUGAUGUGUAGGAUAGGUGGGAGGCUUUGAAGCGUGGACGCCAGUCUGCGUGGAGCCAACCUUGAAAUACCACCCUUUAAUGUUUGAUGUUCUAACGUUGGCCCCUUACCGGGGUUGCGGACAGUGUCUGGUGGGUAGUUUGACUGGGGCGGUCUCCUCCCAAAGCGUAACGGAGGAGCACGAAGGUUAGCUAAUCCUGGUCGGACAUCAGGAGGUUAGUGCAAUGGCAUAAGCUAGCUUGACUGCGAGCGUGACGGCGCGAGCAGGUGCGAAAGCAGGUCAUAGUGAUCCGGUGGUUCUGAAUGGAAGGGCCAUCGCUCAACGGAUAAAAGGUACUCCGGGGAUAACAGGCUGAUACCGCCCAAGAGUUCAUAUCGACGGCGGUGUUUGGCACCUCGAUGUCGGCUCAUCACAUCCUGGGGCUGAAGUAGGUCCCAAGGGUAUGGCUGUUCGCCAUUUAAAGUGGUACGCGAGCUGGGUUUAGAACGUCGUGAGACAGUUCGGUCCCUAUCUGCCGUGGGCGCUGGAGAAUUGAGGGGGGCUGCUCCUAGUACGAGAGGACCGGAGUGGACGCAUCACUGGUGUUCGGGUUGUCAUGCCAAUGGCACUGCCCGGUAGCUAAAUGCGGAAGAGAUAAGUGCUGAAAGCAUCUAAGCACGAAACUUGCCCCGAGAUGAGUUCUCCCUGAGACUUUAAGUCUCCUGAAGGAACGUUGAAGACGACGACGUUGAUAGGCCGGGUGUGUAAGCGCAGCGAUGCGUUGAGCUAACCGGUACUAAUGAACCGUGAGGCUUAACCUU